AAACCCUGUAUGAAUUUGGCGGGACCAUCCGCUAAGGCUAAAUACUCCUGAGAGACCGAUAGUGAACUAGUACCGUGAGGGAAAGGUGAAAAGAACCCUGAAUAAGGGAGUGAAAUAGAUCCUGAAACCGUACGCCUACAAGCGGUCGGAGCAUAUUUAUAUGUAACGGCGUGCCUUUUGCAUAAUGAGCCUACGAGUUACUGUUAAUAGCGAGGUUAACCCUGAAUAACAGGGGCAGCCGUAGCGAAAGCGAGUCUUAACAGGGCGUUAUAGUUAUUAGUAGUAGUGAAAAGUCUUUGGAUGACCUGUGGGUAGGGGUGAAAGGCCAAUCAAACUCGGAAAUAGCUCGUACUCCCCGAAAUGCAUUUAGGUGCAGCGUUGGUUAUAUAGUUUUAUAGAGGUAGAGCUACUGAUUGGAUGCGGGGGUUUCACCGCCUACCAAUUCCUGACAAACUCCGAAUGCUAUAAAAUGAUAACCGGCAGUGAGGGCAUGGGUGCUAAGGUCCAUGUCCGAGAGGGCCCAGACAGCUAGGAUGUUGGCUUGGAAGCAGCCAUUCAUUUAAAGAGUGCGUAACAGCUCACUAGUCGAGCGGUCGAGCAUGGAUAAUAAUCGGGCAUUAAGUAUAUUACCGAAGCUGUGGCUUUGUAGCAAGAGCUACGAGGGGUAGGGGAGCAUUGUAAUUAGGUAGAAGGAUUACCGUGAGGUUUUCUGGACUGAUUACAAAAGAAAAUGUAGGCAUAAGUAACGAUAAGACGGGCGAGAAACCCGUCCACCGAAAGACUAAGGUUUCCUCAGCUAUGCUAGUCAGCUGAGGGUUAGUCGGGUCCUAACACGUACCCGAAAGGGGAAGUGGAUGGUCAACAGGUUAAUAUUCCUGUACUGCUUUAUAUUGCGAUGGAGAGACGGAGUAGUGACAGCACCGCGUACAGACGGAAUUGUACGUUAAACUAAGAAGGUAUAAGAAUAAUAGUAAAAUGCGUUAUUCUUGCUGAAUUAGGAUAGUACCACAAAGCUUCGGCGGCGUGGAUAGUGUGUGUAAUGACUUCCAAGAAAAACUUCUAAGCAUCAGAUAUAAAGUACCCGUACUGAAAACCGACACAGGUAGUUGGGAAGAGAAUUCUAAGGUGCUCGAGAGAUUCAUGGCUAAGGAACUAGGCAAAAUAGACUCGUAACUUCGGGAGAAGAGUCGCCAUGUUUAGGUGGAUUUAUUCAUUUAAAGGUGGCCGCAGAGAAACGAUCCAGGCGACUGUUUAUCAAAAACAUAGGGCUUUGCUAAAUCGCAAGAUGAUGUAUAAGGCCUGACACCUGCCCGGUGCUGGAAGGUUAAGUGGAGAUGUUCGUUCAUUUGGACAAAGCAUUGAGAUGAAGCCCCAGUAAACGGCGGCCGUAACUAUAACGGUCCUAAGGUAGCGAAAUUCCUUGUCGGGUAAGUUCCGACCUGCACGAAUGGUGCAACGAUCU
RNAcentral lists this ribosomal RNA (1462 nucleotides) under oral metagenome. RNAcentral's name for it is "bacterial LSU rRNA". It matches the Rfam family "Bacterial large subunit ribosomal RNA", at positions 429 to 2010 of the family's 2925-position model. The record is from RNAcentral.